GAUGAACGCUAGCGGGAGGCCUAACACAUGCAAGCCGAGCGGUAGAGAUUCUUCGGAAUCUUGAGAGCGGCGUACGGGUGCGGAACACGUGUGCAACCUACCUUUAUCUGGAGGAUAGCCUUUCGAAAGGAAGAUUAAUACUCCAUAAUAUAUUGAUUGGCAUCAAUUGAUAUUGAAAGCUCCGGCGGAUAGAGAUGGGCACGCGCAAGAUUAGUUAGUUGGUGAGGUAACGGCUCACCAAGACGAUGAUCUUUAGGGGGCCUGAGAGGGUGAUCCCCCACACUGGUACUGAGACACGGACCAGACUCCUACGGGAGGCAGCAGUGAGGAAUAUUGGUCAAUGGGUGCAAGCCUGAACCAGCCAUCCCGCGUGAAGGACGACUGCCCUAU
RNAcentral lists this ribosomal RNA (390 nucleotides) under uncultured bacterium. RNAcentral's name for it is "bacterial SSU rRNA". It matches the Rfam family "Bacterial small subunit ribosomal RNA", at positions 28 to 420 of the family's 1533-position model. The record is from RNAcentral.